RNAcentral lists this ribosomal RNA (633 nucleotides) under Salmonella enterica subsp. enterica serovar Enteritidis. RNAcentral's name for it is "partial 23S ribosomal RNA". The stretch from base 1 to 468 matches the Rfam family "Bacterial large subunit ribosomal RNA", at positions 58 to 565 of the family's 2925-position model. The record is from RNAcentral. Lineage: Bacteria; Pseudomonadati; Pseudomonadota; Gammaproteobacteria; Enterobacterales; Enterobacteriaceae.
GUGCUAAUCUGCGAUAAGCGCCGGUAAGGUGAUAUGAACCGUUAUAACCGGCGAUACCCGAAUGGGGAAACCCAGUGUGAUUCGUCACACUAUCAUUAACUGAAUCCAUAGGUUAAUGAGGCGAACCGGGGGAACUGAAACAUCUAAGUACCCCGAGGAAAAGAAAUCAACCGAGAUUCCCCCAGUAGCGGCGAGCGAACGGGGAGGAGCCCAGAGCCUGAAUCAGCAUGUGUGUUAGUGGAAGCGUCUGGAAAGGCGCGCGAUACAGGGUGACAGCCCCGUACACAAAAGCGCAUGUGCUGUGAGCUCGAUGAGUAGGGCGGGACACGUGGUAUCCUGUCUGAAUAUGGGGGGACCAUCCUCCAAGGCUAAAUACUCCUGACUGACCGAUAGUGAACCAGUACCGUGAGGGAAAGGCGAAAAGAACCCCGGCGAGGGGAGUGAAAAAGAACCUGAAACCGUGUACGUACAAGCAGUGGGAGCCCCACCACCAAAGCAUUUGCUGUACCGCGUUGACGGAGCGAAGCGACGUCAAACCGAUAAAACAGCAGUGUAAAGUGAGCCGCAGGGCGCUUUGCGCGACAGCGCAAAGGCAGGCGGUUUCGCGUAGCGAAAGCGAAUGCUUUGGGGUGG